RNAcentral lists this ribosomal RNA (214 nucleotides) under Salmonella enterica subsp. enterica serovar Corvallis. Its description in RNAcentral is "partial 16S ribosomal RNA". It matches the Rfam family "Bacterial small subunit ribosomal RNA", at positions 1 to 214 of the family's 1533-position model. Lineage: Bacteria; Pseudomonadati; Pseudomonadota; Gammaproteobacteria; Enterobacterales; Enterobacteriaceae. The record is from RNAcentral.
AAAUUGAAGAGUUUGAUCAUGGCUCAGAUUGAACGCUGGCGGCAGGCUUAACACAUGCAAGUCGAACGGUAACAGGAAGCAGCUUGCUGCUUUGCUGACGAGUGGCGGACGGGUGAGUAAUGUCUGGGAAACUGCCUGAUGGAGGGGGAUAACUACUGGAAACGGUGGCUAAUACCGCAUAACGUCGCAAGACCAAAGAGGGGGACCUUCGGGC